CCUACGGGUGGCAGCAGUGGGGAAUAUUGCACAAUGGGGGAAACCCUGAUGCAGCGACGCCGCGUGAGUGAAGGAGUAUUUCGGUACGUAAAGCUCUGUCAGCAGGGAAGAAAAUGACGGUACCUGACUAAGAAGCCCCGGCUAACUACGUGCCAGCAGCCGCGGUAAUACGUAGGGGGCAAGCGUUAUCCGGAUUUACUGGGUGUAAGGGGAGCGUAGACGGCAGGGCAAGCCUGUAGUGAAAUCCCAUGGCUUAACCAUGGAACUGCUUUGGAAACUGUGCAGCUGGAGUGCAGGAGAGGUAAGCGGAAUUCCUAGUGUAGCGGUGAAAUGCGUAGAUAUAAGGAGGACAAC
This 354-nucleotide ribosomal RNA is filed under the name uncultured bacterium. RNAcentral's name for it is "partial 16S ribosomal RNA". It matches the Rfam family "Bacterial small subunit ribosomal RNA", at positions 338 to 709 of the family's 1533-position model. The record is from RNAcentral.